UCUGCCUGGUAGUGGGGGAUAACUUGCCGAAAGGUAAGCUAAUACCGCGUACGCCCUACGGGGGAAAGCAGGGGAUCUUUGGACCUUGCGCUAUCAGAUGAGCCCAGGUCGGAUUAGCUAGUUGGUGAGGUAAUGGCUCACCAAGGCGACGAUCCGUAGCUGGUCUGAGAGGAUGAUCAGCCACACCGGGACUGAGACACGGCCCGGACUCCUACGGGAGGCAGCAGAGGGGAAUAUUGGACAAUGGGGGGAACCCUGAUCCAGCCAUGCCGCGUGUGUGAAGAAGGUCUUCGGAUUGUAAAGCACUUUAAGUUGGGAGGAAGGGCUCCGGGUUAAUACCCUGUGAGUUUUGACGUUACCAACAGAAUAAGCACCGGCUAACUUCGUGCCAGCAGCCGCGGUAAUACGAAGGGUGCGAGCGUUAAUCGGAAUUACUGGGCGUAAAGCGCGCGUAGGUGGUUCAAUAAGUUGGAAGUGAAAUCCCCGGGCUUAACCUGGGAAUUGCUUUCAAAACUAUUGGGCUAGAGUACAGUAGAGGGUAGUGGAAUUUCCUGUGUAGCGGUGAAAUGCGUAGAUAUAGGAAGGAACAUCAGUGGCGAAGGCGACUACCUG
RNAcentral lists this ribosomal RNA (612 nucleotides) under uncultured bacterium. RNAcentral's name for it is "bacterial SSU rRNA". It matches the Rfam family "Bacterial small subunit ribosomal RNA", at positions 125 to 731 of the family's 1533-position model. The record is from RNAcentral.